AAUAGUUGACUUUUAUUUACUAUAUUUAAAUAAUAGUUGGCUUUUAUUUUGGUUUUAUGACUUUAAAAUAUUUGGCCAUGCGCUGAAGAUUUUCAUUUUGGAUUUGUUGAUUCUAUGUAUAUGUCAUAUCUAUAUGGUAAUCCAAACAUUUUAUACUAGUAACAGUCAAAGUGGUUCUUCAUUUUCUGUUGAUGCAGGAGAUGAAGAGUCGGUGUGAUGAGAAAAUGUCCGACUUUAUCUUUUCUAAGACUAGAACAGUCUCUACAAAUAGUAAAUUUAUUCAUAUGGUGCUAGCGGUCACUUAAUUAAUUUGUGUUUUCAUUUUUCAAGUCAGAAAUUGCUUGGAGAGAUGCAAAAUAUGGUCAAAGAAUUCAAGAACUUUGUUCUUCGGGUUUUUUUUAAUGCAUGUAAUCACAGUUAAAAACUUGUUAUUAAUUCCUUUGUAUAUACUUUUGAACAUUCAAUUUUCAUUUAUGAAAUAUAUGAUGUUAUUUCAUUCAAUAUGUGGUUGUGAUUCAAAUGAUAUAUAUAUAGUGUGUAUUAUAUUCUUCAAAUGCGCGUACAAAAAUAAUAUUGAUUAUGUUGAACCCUUUUUUUUAUCACACUCAUUAACUGUGAUGAGAAAUGCAUAUAAUAUGUGAUCUUAUCUCACUAUUAAUCACAGGUUUUAUUAGAUAUUAAUCAUACUUAAAAUCUGUGAUCUAAAUGUUAUUAGUCACACUUAAAAGAUGUGAUUUAAAUAUUUAUUAUUAUCACACGCAAAACGUGUGAUGGAAUCAUCUUUUAAAGACAUUCAAAACGUGUUACACUCUCGAAGAUCACACUUUGACAAAACUUGAAUUGUGUGAUUAAAUAGCAUACAUCACCCAUAAAAAAGUGUGAUGUAUUUAUAAUUUGUAGUAGUUAAAUGAGUUAAGUGGUUAAUCUCAUGAUUUUAGAGUUAUGUAAUAUUUGUGAAUUGAGAAAGAAAGAAAAUGUUUGUCGUAGAAGUGGCUCAUGUUCUGAAGGUUGUUAGCGGAAUUGGUAAAUUGAAUGAGAUAAUAAGAUUGUUGGUCUAAUUCUAGGAAAUGUUGAUUGUUGUAGAAUGGGUUAUACAUGUGACAUGCUGUUGAUUUAAUUUUACAAAUCGAAAUGAUGAUGUAUAUGAUGAGUUGAUGGAUUAAAGUUUUAAAAAGACGGUCUGUUUCCUUCCAACUUGUGACCGGUAAAACGUAGUGUAUUAACAGAGGUUUCUCUUUCCUUCCGAUUUGUGCCCAAUAAAGCGUGUGGAUUGUUGGACUAUAUGGAGGUUUUGCUUUCCCUUCGGCUAGCCACCGGUAAAGUGUGGCACUUUGAGGUGUGGAGUUUGUUGUCUCGUUCAAGAAUUCAAGGAGUUAGGUUACUAAUGAUUCGAGAUUUGUUACUCACCGGUGAAAACGCCAAUGUGUUAUUACUCUCUUUAUUAUAAUUAUUGCAUUUUUGAAAUUCUCAAUGUAAGCCUAAGGGCAUAUUUUGUAAUGAUCCGUACUAAACUUGUACCAUUGUAUUUAUGCGAGAGGGAACCUUGAAUAUCCUAUGUAUUUUGUUUUGCUUCUGCAUUUUAUUAUUUCAUAAA
Non-coding RNA from Camellia sinensis, 1594 nucleotides. The record is from RefSeq and is a predicted model, not a curated record. Lineage: Eukaryota; Viridiplantae; Streptophyta; Magnoliopsida; Ericales; Theaceae.